This 492-nucleotide ribosomal RNA is filed under the name uncultured bacterium. RNAcentral describes it as "partial 16S ribosomal RNA". It matches the Rfam family "Bacterial small subunit ribosomal RNA", at positions 28 to 507 of the family's 1533-position model. The record is from RNAcentral.
GACGAACGCUGGCGGCGUGCUUAACACAUGCAAGUGGAGCGACGAACCAGGGCUUGCCCUGGUCCGGAGCCGCGAACGGGUGAGUAACUCGUGGGUAACGUACCCCGAUGACUGGGACAACCCGGGGAAACCCGGGCGAAUACCGGAUGUGCCCUCUCACAUCAGUGAGGGGUGUAAAGUAAGCUUCGGCCUCCGCGUCGCGAUCGGCCCGCGGCCCAUUAGCUUGUUGGUGAGGUAACGGCUCACCAAGGCAGCGAUGCGUAGCUGGUCUGAGAGGACGAUCAGCCACACUGGGACUGAGACACGGCCCAGACUCCUACGGGAGGCAGCAGUGGGGAAUCUUGCGCAAUGCGCGAAAGCGUGACGCAGCAACGCCGCGUGGGGGAAGACGGCCUUCGGGUUGUAAAACCCUUUUAGUUGGGAAGAAGGUCGGGCGGUUAAACGCCGCUCAGGCUGACGGUACCUACACAAGAAGCCCCGGCUAACUACGUG